UCGGGAUNUGUGCUUAUCUCUUGGAUUGC
RNAcentral lists this non-coding RNA (29 nucleotides) under Mus musculus (house mouse). Lineage: Eukaryota; Metazoa; Chordata; Mammalia; Rodentia; Muridae. The record is from RNAcentral.